GCGUCUUUGGUUCCUCCGCCACCAGCCCACGACAAAUGUAGAAACUGAACCAUCCCUGCCUUCAUUUUAAAUGUGUACUGCUAUGUGCUAUCGUCGUCUUGGCAGCACGUCCACCAGGAGAACCACUUCUUCCUCUUCGCAGAUCGCAAUGGUGGUCACUGUGGCAGCAGCCCUGGCGUGGCAGAGAAGGAUGAGACGCUCACGGAGGCCCCUCGCGUCUGGUCAUGUUCGCGGAGUCAGCGGCUUAAGGCAACUUGCUGCCAGCGAUCGAUGCUCGCGGUUUGUGGAGCUUGCAGAGGCCCCUCGCUGCCGGCGGCGCUCCUGUGCUCUUCUCCAAUAGGUCUGCGUCAUCCUUCUUAACUCAGUUUCGACCUCGGUUUCUUCCAUCCAACUCUCUCUCAUACCUAUGAAAGCUUUUCUAACUCUCAGAUUCACAAGAGCGCUGUGCUGAAUCCAUGGCUGGGGCAGCCUACUAGGACAGAUCAUCCAUGGUGGACACAAUAGAUCCAUGGCGGGGUGAGCUAGACUACGACGCGCAUGUGGAUGAGGCAGUGAAGACAAAUGUAUCCAUGUUCUGUAAAAAAAGUUUCUGUGUACUGUACAAUAAAUCUAUACUCCCUCACUCUCUUUUUAAUUGUCAGUUACGCUUUCAAAAAACAACUACCGACA
This 669-nucleotide long non-coding RNA is filed under the name Sorghum bicolor (sorghum). RNAcentral's name for it is "long non-coding RNA (SBIC_LNC009356)". The record is from RNAcentral. Lineage: Eukaryota; Viridiplantae; Streptophyta; Magnoliopsida; Poales; Poaceae.